CUACGGGAGGCAGCAGUGGGGAAUUUUGCACAAUGGGGGAAACCCUGAUGCAGCGACGCCGCGUGGAGGAUGAAGGCCUUCGGGUUGUAAACUCCUUUUGUAGGGGACAAUGAUGAUGGUACCCUAUGAAUAAGCCACGGCUAACUCUGUGCCAGCAGCCGCGGUAAGACAGAUGUGGCGAGCGUUGUUCGGAAUCACUGGGCUUAAAGGGCGCGUAGGUGGUAGUACAAGUCUGAUGUGGAAUCUUAGGGCUUAACCCUAAAAUUGCAUUGGAAACUGUAUUACUUGAGUCAGUGAGGGGAGGGUAGAAUUCAUGGUGUAGCGGUGAAAUGCGUAGAUAUCAGGAGGAAGGCCUGUGGCGAAGGCGGCCCUCUGGCGCUGAACUGACACUGAGGCGCGAAAGCGUGGGUAGCAAACAGGAUUAGAUACCCCGGU
This 435-nucleotide ribosomal RNA is filed under the name uncultured bacterium. RNAcentral's name for it is "bacterial SSU rRNA". It matches the Rfam family "Bacterial small subunit ribosomal RNA", at positions 339 to 791 of the family's 1533-position model. The record is from RNAcentral.